Molecule: ribosomal RNA, 327 nt
Filed under: uncultured eukaryote
Lineage: Eukaryota
Description: partial 18S ribosomal RNA
Rfam family: Eukaryotic small subunit ribosomal RNA
Source: RNAcentral
CCCUUAGAUGUUCUGGGCCGCACGCGCGCUACACUGAUUCAUGCAACGAGUUUUGUCCUUGGCUGAAAGGCCUGGGUAAUCUUUGAACGUGAAUCGUGCUGGGGAUAGAUGAUUGCAAUUAUUCAUCUUCAACGAGGAAUUCCUAGUAAACGCAAGUCAUCAGCUUGCAUUGAUUACGUCCCUGCCCUUUGUACACACCGCCCGUCGCACCUACCGAUUGAAUGAUCCGGUGAAAUCUUCGGAUCUGAGAGAUGUUGGAUUAAUUUCUGACGCCUUUUGGAAAAGUCGCUUAAACCUUAUCAUUUAGAGGAAGGUGAAGUCGUAACA